RNAcentral lists this long non-coding RNA (213 nucleotides) under Elaeis guineensis (African oil palm). RNAcentral describes it as "long non-coding RNA (EGUI_LNC000637)". The record is from RNAcentral. Lineage: Eukaryota; Viridiplantae; Streptophyta; Magnoliopsida; Arecales; Arecaceae.
GCGGUUAGAGAGCUAUCUGUAAGUGAGCUGGCAUACAGCUCUGUAUAUAAGCUGGAUAUAAGAUCAUGGCUAGCUGUGGUUUGGUUGAGGAAGUCGCUGUGGGCGUUUUGCAGAACGGUUAAGUCCGUCACAAUAGUAACUCACCUCGAUAGAUGAUCGAGCCAAACUAGAGAUGCCAUAACAUUCAUCCCGGAUAAAAAAAAGUAUCAUGGU